UUGACCGCCNUGGAGACAGGGUCUUCCCUUCGGGGACAGGAUGACAGGUGGUGCAUGGUUGUCGUCAGCUCGUGUCGUGAGAUGUUGGGUUAAGUCCCGCAACGAGCGCAACCCUUGGUUCUAGUUGCCAGCAUUCAGUUGGGCACUCUAGAGCGACUGCCGGCGACAAGUCGGAGGAAGGUGGGGAUGACGUCAAAUCAUCAUGCCCCUUAUGACCUGGGCUACACACGUGCUACAAUGGAUGGUACAAAGGGCAGCGAAGCGGCGACGCAUAAGCGAAUCCCAGAAAACCAUUCUCAGUUCGGAUUGCAGGCUGCAACUCGCCUGCAUGAAGCCGGAAUCGCUAGUAAUCGCGGAUCAGCAUGCCGCGGUGAAUACGUUCCCGGGCCUUGUACACACCGCCCGUCACACCACGAGAGUUUGUAACACCCGAAGUCGGUGAGGAACNGUAAGAGG
RNAcentral lists this ribosomal RNA (456 nucleotides) under Desulfoscipio geothermicus. RNAcentral describes it as "bacterial SSU rRNA". It matches the Rfam family "Bacterial small subunit ribosomal RNA", at positions 991 to 1446 of the family's 1533-position model. Lineage: Bacteria; Bacillati; Bacillota; Clostridia; Eubacteriales; Desulfallaceae. The record is from RNAcentral.